UCCGAGUUGACCCCGGCAGUCUCCUAUGAGUCCCCACCAUCACGUGCUGGCAACAUAGAACGAGGGUUGCGCUCGUUGCGGGACUUAACCCAACAUCUCACGACACGAGCUGACGACAACCAUGCAGCACCUCUAUAGGCUCUCGACUUUACGAGUCAUCGCUACUUUCAUAGCUCUUACUUCCUACAGUUCAAGCCCAGGUAAGGUUCUUCGCGUUGCGUCGAAUUAAACCACAUGCUCCACCGCUUGUGCGGGCCCCCGUCAAUUCCUUUGAGUUUCAGCCUUGCGGCCGUACUCCCCAGGCGGGGCACUUAACGCGUUAGCUGCGGCACCGAAGGGGUCGAUCCCCCCGGCACCUAGUGCCCAUCGUUUACGGCGUGGACUAC
RNAcentral lists this unclassified non-coding RNA (386 nucleotides) under uncultured bacterium. Its description in RNAcentral is "contains 16S-23S intergenic spacer region". The record is from RNAcentral.